Molecule: long non-coding RNA, 737 nt
Organism: Sinocyclocheilus grahami
Lineage: Eukaryota; Metazoa; Chordata; Actinopteri; Cypriniformes; Cyprinidae
Exons: 6
Source: RefSeq, a predicted model, not a curated record
GUGUGAACUUUGGGGUAUUUGUGUGCACUGUAAAGUUUAUUUCUCACUUCACUAUAAAAAUGUUUUCAAUGUAAAUGUGUUGUUUUGGGCUGUGAACAACAAUGCUUUUUUGUUUUAAAGGCAGCAGAAAUGGAAGCAAAAAACAUGAAAAUGUCAUCUGAAGUGCUUCAAACAUGUCAGCUAGUUCACCUAUGUGUUUACCAUGCCACAAGCAUGUUGAAAGAUAUGACAACUGAAGACUUUCCGACUGCAAUUGGAGAAACAGAGGAAAGCGAAAUAGAGACCAACAACUGCAUAGCCCAGGACAUAAAAGCCUGCAUUUAUCAAAACACAGCAGAUAAAGCUCUGCAUCCACACAUCAAACGUACGAAGUGGUUUCAGUGUGACCUGUGCAACAAAUGGUUACACACAGAUUGCUCUGGCAUAGACCCUAAAACAAUUACUAAAGACACAAUUACUUGGAUGUGAUCAAGAACAGCCAUAUUCUUUUCAAAGCACCCUCACAGCUUUGAAACAGGGGCUUUUGGUCAACACAGUUGUGAAUAAUGAAGAAAUUUUGUGAAAUCACAAAAAAUGUUUUUACACAAGCAUCCGAGUUAUGCACCCACACUGAAAAAUCUGUGCAAACUACGUAUCUCAGUGUUUGAUGAAGAACAGACUGAUGGAAUCAUUGACAAAGUAUUCAGUGUUUUGGCAUUGAAAAUAAAAGAUUAAUCAAGCAUUUGGAAGUCAUGACA